CAAACCCCUGUCUACCCGCAG
Molecule: microRNA, 21 nt
Filed under: Homo sapiens (human)
Lineage: Eukaryota; Metazoa; Chordata; Mammalia; Primates; Hominidae
Description: hsa-miR-6771-3p
Source: miRBase by way of RNAcentral